This 5747-nucleotide long non-coding RNA is filed under the name Vigna radiata. Its description in RNAcentral is "long non-coding RNA (VRAD_LNC010167)". Lineage: Eukaryota; Viridiplantae; Streptophyta; Magnoliopsida; Fabales; Fabaceae. The record is from RNAcentral.
UCCAUAAUUAAUUCUCCCUUGAAAGUCAGGCUAGAGAGUCCAAGGGACCUCCUCUAGCCACCUUCCAGCACACUACCUCAUUCUUUCAUAUUCCAUUUUCAUCUGCUAGGGUUUCGUCCCAAGCUUAUUCUCCUCACAGAUCCACAACGCCUCCAACAUGGUAAGCUUCGUUUCUCCUCCGUUUCACCAUUUCCAACCAUUUCUACCGAUUGUUUCCUUGUCUAAACACCUUUCCACCGUUUUGUUUUCCAAAAUCCACCGAUUAAAACAUCUUUUGAAUCGAACCAUACCUUUUCCACCAUUUAAACUUCGAUUCUCACUGUUUAAUCGGUUUGUUUCGAGUUUCCUUCACCAUUUUAGGGUUCACUCGUGUUUCUAGGGUUUUGUACGGUUCAAACCCAAGUUUCUCCAGUUCUCCAUCUUCUUCUCAUAUUUCGUUGCGUAUUCUUCGUCGGAGAAGCCUCGCCGGAGUUGAAUCGCGCCUUCGGUCAACUUCUCUCGGAGCGUCUUGCAUCAUGUGGUAAUCAGAGCACAGGUUGCGUCCAUGCGACAAAGAUAAGUAUUUCGAGCUCUGUUUUUGGUUUCCUCUUUCUUGGUUUGAUCUUGUUUCGAAUCUGUAUUGUGUUGAUUCGCGUUGAUAUGUUGAUUCUUUUUCAAUUUGAUUCGCGUCUCUGACUCUGUGUUAGUUUUGUGUUUUGUUUCAUCUGAAUCUGACUUGCUAUGUCUUGUUUUGUUUGAUUCUGAGUUUCCUUCAGUUUCUGAGUUGUGUUAAUUUUUGUUCAUUCUCGCGUUGUUCAUCAUUGCUUCACUGUCUUGUGUGACUUGAUCUGUGUUUGUUGUGCCUUUGCGUUUUUGAUUUGAGUCUUAUUCUCAUCUUUAUUCGGUGAAUCAUUUGCUUUGAAUCAUUUUAUUUUCUAAAUCAAUUUCUGUAAUGUCUUAGUCACGUUGUUUGUUUGACUUGUCAUAUGAAUCUGAGUUUAACCUUUGUAAUUGUCAAGUCAUGAGUUAAGUUUGGUCUCUGAUGUUAAUCAUUAAGAGUCGUGACAUUCAAUUGAAUGAGCUCAAUUCCUGUGGCAACAUUGAAUGAAGUAACAUGUUUCUUGAAUCUGUUUAAUCAGUUUCACCGAUACUGAAUGUGCUUUGAGAGUUUUGGUGUCAUUCAUACUUGGUUUUAGAAUCUUUGCCAAGUUCUGGUUCAAUUUUUCCAGUAUAGUUAUUGAUAUUGUCUCUUUGACAUCUACUGUGGUCUGAGAUUCUGCAGAAUUGCAUUGAAAUUGAUUGCAACAUUGUUUAAACUUGUUUUUGAACUUCUGAAAGUGGUUAAUAUAGUGUGCAUUCUGAGCAUAUACAUUGACAACAAUUCUGCAGUUGAGUGUGUAUUUUGUUGGUCACUCAAGGAAGCCUGAGCCAGUGGUCUUUGAAACUAUAAUUGUGGCUAAGAGUGAUUAAUUUCUUAUUUUCCUUUGGAUUUUUUCUGAGUUGAACCAUGUUUAAUUUCCUUUGGCAAAAAAUUUGAUUAAGUUGAAAAGUUGAUUAGGUGAUCUGUUGAGAAUUGUGACUGAAAAUAGCAAGUUCUAAAGUGUCAUCCAAAUCAGAUUGGGCUAUCAAAUUGUGAUUAAAAAAAAAUCAAAGAGAACUGGUGCAAUUCACAAUAGUAUGCACUGUUUCAGUGAAAUAUCUCUGCCAAAAUCAGAUAUACUUUUUUUCAUUCAUAACUGGUUCAACUUAAAUCAUUUUCUUGUGUUUUAAUCUGUUCUAGAGCUAUUCAUAGGUUCUGUUUGAGUGCCAGCUGUUCUAAAUAGCUUGUUUUUUUAUUUGCUUGUCUUCUUGGCUGUCUUGGUUGUGUCUACAUCAAGUAAACUCUGAUUUGUUGUUCAUAAUUAAAGCUUUUUCUUGCUUUUGUAAUUUGGUCUAGUGUUGUUUUGAGUCUGUUGUUCUGUGGUGCUGUCAUUUCUGUGCUUUAGUAGUUGUCCUGUUUGGUUCUGUCCAUUAUUUUGAUCUUUGCUUAGCCAUUUCCUUUCAUGACUGAGAAGCACUUUCACUCUGGUUUUUUUGGAAUUUUGAAAGAAGGUUUGUGUGCUUGGUAGCAUCUUAGGUGGUGGUAGUCUAAAAGACUCUCCAACUUUAAACUGCCAAGGGAGAAUUUUUCCCUUCCAAACCCUCAUUUGUGUGCUUUAAAAGUUUUUAAGAGAAGCCUUGAAUGAUGUGAGUUUUGUGAGGCUAUUUUAGCCUAAGUUGUUUGGCAAUUCGAGAGAUAACUCAGUUUUUUUCUUGCUCACUAUUUUGUGAUUGUUCAUUGUGCAGGAAAAGAAAUUGGAUCAAACAGGAGCAACUGUGUUUGGAAUUCAUCUUAAUCUGCUUUUGCAUUCAUCUUGAAAUUUAAAUUGUUUACUAGGUUACUGGUAACAUAACUGAUUGAAUGUGAUAGUUGAUUUCAUGGAUUAAGUUUGUUAAUGACUGAUUUUGGGUUCAUAAGAUCUGUUGAACUUGGUAGAUGAACUAGGAAGUGGCAAUAUUGUUCUGAUUGAGUUGAGUUCUUUUCAGCUUGUGCUUCAACACUGUUUUAAAUUGCCAAUUCCUAAUUUCAUGCGUACAUUAGUUGACUUGUUCCUACUGGGUUUUUUUGAAAGUUGUUACUACACAUACUACUGCACAUUAUAUUGCAUUGAAAUGAUUAGAUUUUGAUUAGUUCAGGACUGGUGGAUUAAGCAGUUUAACAUCAGUUUGAAUUCCAUAUAUUUUGAAUCUGGGUUAAAGUCCAAUUGCAUUUGUAUUUGUUGGAAUCUGGUGUGAUGUUGUGUGUGUAGAACUGAUAUGUGUGGGAGUCUAGAUUGAGUUUGACGCUUUGAGUCAGUUUCUUUGAUUGGAACCCAAUUUGUGCAGUUCUGAAUUGAAUGUAGUCUUCUACCCUAACUUGCUUCUAUUUUGCAUAAAGUACUUGUGUUAGGACUUGUACUUUGUUAGGAUUAAAAUUGUUUACUUGUGCAGUAUCAUUUCGAAGUAACUAACUGAGAGCAAAAGAACUUUCUUCACCUGCGUCAAAUACAGCUCGUUCCAGUUUGUGAGAAAGGGAGGAAUUUUUAUCUUGUGAAUUGUGUUCUGUUAGUCUGUUAGCCAAGAGAAAUAUUAAGCUUUAUGCUAUAUGUGUGCAGGAUGGGAAAAUCAGAACUAAAGGGAAUGAAAUCCAAAGGUUAGAAAAGUUCCAAAACUACCAGAAACAACAGAAACAACAAGGGGGUACGUGAAUUGUUGCACCAUGAUUUUUGCAUCAGAAGUGGACCGUAACUGAAUUAGGACCUUAGCAGCAAGAUUUGGGCCGUAGCAUAGGAAUGAAUUUUUCUGUAAUUUUUUAUUUUAUUUUUCUGUGUAUUUGAUGGGCUUGUGUCAGCCCAAUGUCACUGUUAGUUUUUAUUUUUCUGGUUUGUAAAGGGCCUUUUAUAAAGUCCAAGUUUGGAAGAGUCCUUGGUGCUCUUUCCAUUCUUGGCAACCUUUCUUGAUUGCUUUAUUUUAAUUUUAGCUAGACAUAGGAGUAGAAUUUGAAUGUCUUUGCAUGUGUUUGAUUUUCACGUGUAGGUGUGACCUUUGUCACAUUAGAGUCCGAACGAAUUAGGGGUCUUAGAGUCCGUUUUCAUUGUUUGUUUCUUUUGAUUCUUGUACUUUGAUUUCAAAAAUGUCUUGUUAUUCAUCUGGGAUGUCUAGUUCAUACAUUAAGGAUGAUUUGUGUACUAAAGCUAGAAAAAUUCCCUUCUUUGGUAAAGAUACAAAUGUCUUAACAUAUCUAGUUUGGGAAAAAGAAAUUAAUCAAAUGCAUCCUGUCCUUAUUAGGCAAAGUGAACUUGAGUCUUAUAGUACAAUUGUUCUUUCUAGAGAGUGUGAAUCUCGAGCUCUUAGUUUAUAUCUCUCUAGAUUAGAAAAGCAUGCACUAGAGUGGUGGGAUGAAAGACAAUAUUGGGUUCAUCAAGGUAGAAAAUCCACCAUUGAAAAUUGGUAUGAAUUGAGAUCGUGCAUGAGAAGAAAGUUUGUGCCUCCAAAUAUUCAAAGUAACUUAGAACAUAUGAGAGAGCUUAUUAGAGAAGGCAAGUUGUUCAUUCAAAAUUUAAGUGGAUUCAAUCGGUAAAAAUGGACGAAGAUGAUGAAUGAAGGUUUUUAAUCAGUAGAAAACCUAGCAAAAUGGAGGAGAAGGAUGGAUCUAUGAAGAACUUGACAAAACUUGCGAGGAGCUGUCGAGAGAGAAUGCCUCUCGAACAGGAAGAUGCGUAGGGUGAAAUGGCUUCAGGAAUAUGUAUCUGAGGUGCUGACGAUGUACGAAGAAGUGACUCUGCUGACGCGUGCCACCAAGCUGAAGUGGAGUGGUGGAAAACGACGUCGUGGAGGAGAGAAAAUGGAAGCACAGUGAGAAAUUAAUGGAAAAUGAAAAUAAAGGUUGUGUGCCUUGGAAGGAGGCUAGAGGUCUUUGGACUCUCUAGCCAAGGAUUCAAUCGUAGGGAAAUAGAGUUUAGAGAAAAACUCAUGAAGUUCUUGAAUGAGGGAAGUAAAAGGAGAUUUGAGAGAGAACAUAGGCAAUUACAAGAAAGAAUAGAGAGACAAGAGAGAAGAAAAAAGAGAAAACGGGAAGAAGAAAGGCAAAGACAAAGAGAGAGAAAGAGAUAACAAGAGAGAAAAGAAGGGGAAGAAAGAAGAGAGCAGGAAGAGAGACUACAAAAGAAAGAGAAGGAAGAAAUUGAAAGGAAGGAAAGGGAAGAAAAGAAAUUGAUGACAACAUAUCCUAAUCUAAAACCCAAAAGGGGAGGUUUUCUAUCUUUUCACUUUCCAAUUGUUAUUGAAUGCUUUAAUUCUACCUUUUCUUUCCAAGAAUUUGCCAUUAAACCUUUUCAAAAGUUGCAAUCUUUAACACAUGGCAAUCAAAGACUUGAGUUAGAGAUAUCUUUAUCACUAAUUCAAGACAAAAAUAUAUUUUCAAAUAGAGUAAGGUUUCUUUUUAGUCAUAAACUUGAAAAUUUCAAAGUUAGGAAACCUUCUUCUAAACAUAUUUCUUUAUACAUCUUAUUGGGUCAAAUAAAACUAAUUAGAGAUAUGUUUGAUGCUUAUUGCAGAUUAAUAUUUGAUCCAGGAGGAACUUCCAUGGCGAUUACAACAAUAAGUCCUCAGGCGAACCAUCAGAUUUGAGGACAAAUCCUUUCCAAGAGGGAGGGGAUGAUACGCGGGGCCCAAGCCCAAUGUCUUUAGUGUAGUCUUUCUUUUACUUGUAAUAGACAUGUGUACAAUGUGUUAGGCAUGUGGUACAUUUAGGCCUAUAUAUAGGCAUGCUAACACAUCUUGUAAUCACUUUUGAGCUGAAUGAGAAUUAGAUUUCUGAAGUCCAGAAUUAAUUCUCCCUUGAAAGUCAGGCUAGAGAGUCCAAGGGACCUCCUCUAGCCACCUUCCAACACACUACCUCAUUCUUUCAUUUUCCAUUUUUACCAUUGUGCUUUCUCUCUCAUAACAUUACAUCCAAUCUUCCAUAGCCACAUCACGCACACGCGUCAGUGCUUGAAUUCGCGUCAUCACCAUGUCCUCUUCAACUCUCGCAGACACAUCACUCUGUCAUUUCAUUGCUCACAAUUACUUCAUCUGCUAGGGUUUCGUCCCAAGCUUAUUCUCCUCACAGAUCCACAACGCCUCCAACAUGGUAAGCUUCGUUUCUCCUCCGUUUCACCAUUUCCAACCAUUUCUACCGAUUGAUUCCUUGUCUAAACACCUUUCCACCG